UAGGUUGAACAGCCUAGGUAUAUGACU
This 27-nucleotide non-coding RNA is filed under the name Rattus norvegicus (Norway rat). Lineage: Eukaryota; Metazoa; Chordata; Mammalia; Rodentia; Muridae. The record is from RNAcentral.